This 345-nucleotide ribosomal RNA is filed under the name uncultured Symbiodinium. RNAcentral's name for it is "partial Bacterial large subunit ribosomal RNA". It matches the Rfam family "Bacterial large subunit ribosomal RNA", at positions 595 to 941 of the family's 2925-position model. Lineage: Eukaryota; Dinophyceae; Suessiales; Symbiodiniaceae. The record is from RNAcentral.
GACUGCGUACCUUUUGUAUAAUGGGUCAGCGACUUAUAUUUUGUAGCGAGGUUAACCGAAUAGGGGAGCCGAAGGGAAACCGAGUCUUAACUGGGCGUCUAGUUGCAAGGUAUAGACCCGAAACCCGGUGAUCUAGCCAUGAGCAGGUUGAAGAUUGGGUAACACUAAUUGGAGGACCGAACCGACUAAUGUUGAAAAAUUAGCGGAUGACUUGUGGCUGGGGGUGAAAGGCCAAUCAAACCGGGAGAUAGCUGGUUCUCCCCGAAAUCUAUUUAGGUAGAGCCUCGGACGAAUUCCAUUGGGGGUAGAGCACUGUUAAGGCUAGGGGGUCAUCCCGACUUACCA